RNAcentral lists this ribosomal RNA (259 nucleotides) under uncultured bacterium. RNAcentral describes it as "partial 16S ribosomal RNA". It matches the Rfam family "Bacterial small subunit ribosomal RNA", at positions 63 to 334 of the family's 1533-position model. The record is from RNAcentral.
CGAACGAGAAAGCGUCCUUCGGGGCGUGAGUACAGUGGCGUACGGGUGAGUAACACGUGGGUUACCUGCCCUUCGGUGGGGAAUAACCCUGGGAAACCGGGGCUAAUACCGCAUAUCUCCGUAAGGAGAAAGCCUUCGGGCGCCGGAGGAGGGGCCCGCGGCCGAUUAGCUUGUUGGUGAGGUAACGGCUCACCAAGGCAACUAUCGGUAGCCGGCCUGAGAGGGCACACGGCCACACUGGCACUGAGACACGGGCCAG